UGGGGAAUAUUGGACAAUGGGCGCAAGCCUGAUCCAGCAACGCCGCGUGGAGGAUGAAGGUCUUCGGAUCGUAAACUCCUGUCAGACGGGACGAAGGGUCGUGGGUGAACAAUCCACGUCUUUGACGGUACCGUCAGAGGAAGCCCCGGCUAACCCCGUGCCAGCAGCCGCGGUAAGACGGAGGGGGCGAGCGUUAUUCGGAAUUACUGGGCGUAAAGGGCGCGUAGGCGGCCAUCUAAGUCAGACGUGAAAUCCCCCGGCUUAACCUGGGAACUGCGUCUGAUACUGGACGGCUUGAGUAUGGGAGAGGGAUGUAGAAUUCCAGGUGUAGCGGUGAAAUGCGUAGAUAUCUGGAGGAAUACCGGUGGCGAAGGCGGCAUCCUGGACCAUUACUGACGCUGAGGCGCGAAAGCUAGGGGAGCAAAC
This 426-nucleotide ribosomal RNA is filed under the name uncultured bacterium. RNAcentral describes it as "bacterial SSU rRNA". It matches the Rfam family "Bacterial small subunit ribosomal RNA", at positions 355 to 773 of the family's 1533-position model. The record is from RNAcentral.